Molecule: long non-coding RNA, 492 nt
Organism: Fukomys damarensis (Damara mole-rat)
Lineage: Eukaryota; Metazoa; Chordata; Mammalia; Rodentia; Bathyergidae
Exons: 4
Source: RefSeq, a predicted model, not a curated record
GAUGAAUAAAGGAGAGAAAGCCACACUACUUACUGGUGGCUGCUGAUUCUCUUUACACCUUUUCAAGGGAACAGCUGGGGUGCAGUCACCAGAUGCAUCAUGCUGCUAGAACUCUGAGCUGAAGUUUACCAAGAUUAUGACUCACAAGCUCUGUGCCAGGACAAAAAAGUAUUAGUGCAAUGCCACCCAAAUAUGACAGAUGAUGAUAAAUAACUCUCAUGGCGAUCACAGCGACUCUUCCACUAAAUGAUGAGGCUCUGUCUAACAGAAAAGAAAGUGACAUGAAAAUGGAAAAGACUUGGAGCAAUGGAUAUGUCUACAUGCCAACAAGUAUCAUGAAUUACUGCCACAGCCAGAAGCUACAAAAUGGCAAAGCUGGAUUCUAUCUAGGGACUCAGACGAAAUACGGCCAUGUGGAUAAGUGAUUUCACACUUUCGCCUCAAGAAUUGUGAGACAAUAAAUUGCUGUUGUUUUAAGCAUGCACUGUGUGG